Stegostoma tigrinum is the source of this 106-nucleotide small nuclear RNA. Lineage: Eukaryota; Metazoa; Chordata; Chondrichthyes; Orectolobiformes; Stegostomatidae. The record is from RefSeq and is a predicted model, not a curated record.
AAUUUCCAGAGGGAGAUUAAACAGUAAAAUUGGAAUGAUAUAGAGAAGGUUACAGUGGCCUUUGGAAAAGGACAACAUGUAAGUUUGUGAAGGGGUCCAUAUUUCA